GAUGAACGCUGGCGGCGUGCCUAAUACAUGCAAGUCGAGCGAACAGACGAGGAGCUUGCUCCUCUGACGUUAGCGGCGGACGGGUGAGUAACACGUGGAUAACCUACCUAUAAGACUGGGAUAACUUCGGGAAACCGGAGCUAAUACCGUAUAACAUGUUGAACCGCAUGGUUCAACAGUGAAAGACGGUCUUGCUGUCACUUAUAGAUGGAUCCGCGCCGCAUUAGCUAGUCGGUAAGGUAACGGCUUACCAAGGCAACGAUGCGUAGCCGACCUGAGAGGGUGAUCGGCCACACUGGAACUGAGACACGGUCCAGACUCCUACGGGAGGCAGCAGUAGGGAAUCUUCCGCAAUGGGCGAAAGCCUGACGGAGCAACGCCGCGUGAGUGAAGAAGGUCUUCGGAUCGUAAAACUCUGUUAUUAGGGAAGAACAAAUGUGUAAGUAACUAUGCACGUCUUGACGGUACCUAAUCAGAAAGCCACGGCUAACUACGUG
RNAcentral lists this ribosomal RNA (497 nucleotides) under uncultured bacterium. RNAcentral describes it as "partial 16S ribosomal RNA". It matches the Rfam family "Bacterial small subunit ribosomal RNA", at positions 28 to 507 of the family's 1533-position model. The record is from RNAcentral.